This is a non-coding RNA of Sus scrofa (pig), 1749 nucleotides long. The record is from RefSeq and is a predicted model, not a curated record. Lineage: Eukaryota; Metazoa; Chordata; Mammalia; Artiodactyla; Suidae.
CUUAAUUAGUUAAAAUAUUGAUGUAAUCACUUCUCCCUUGAACCCAUUUCCCAAGGUUCUGUGAGUGCUUCCCAGUGACAGAACCUAACUGAAGCUUGCAAAGAAUUCUGGGAAAUGUAGUUUUCAUGCUUCUAAACCUUGGAGAAAAUAGAAAAAUAAGGAGCUAAGAGCCAACUAAAAAUCACCAAUAUUAGCAGAUACACAAUUUAAGCACUUUAUUAUGUUAAUAUCAUCAUCCUUAUAACUCUUGUUCUCACUCUUUUUGCAACCAACAUGUAAUGGCACCUCAAUCAAGUUAUUUCACCACUCUAGGCUUUCAUUUCUUUAUCUUAAAAGAUUUGGACUGGAUGAGCACCUCCCAUCAAAUAAUUUUCUUCCUUCCCUCAUAUACUCAAUCAACAAACAUUUGCUGAGCCCCCAAGUGUGAGCAAUCAGAGAGUGUUUCUUCUUGGCUGCGGGUAUGCACAUAACCGAUAGUCCCUUUCUACAAUAAGCUCCCUUUCCUAUUGUCCAUCAUCUGCCUCCUCCCCUACCUGGGCCUCAGUAUCAACUUGUCAAGGAUGUUACAUGGAGAUCAGAACAUCUUCACCUGUUAGCUUAUCAACAGGUGAGGGGCGAGACUCUCUGCUGGUUUCCUUGGUAACCAAUGAACCAACCUGAUAUCAAUUCCCUCUAUAACUGGCAACCUCUACCUCCUCCCAAGAGUGAAGACUGCCCAUCUCCACUGUCCAGAUCUCACUCCACGACCUUGCUUCAAACAGAAGAAUCAGCCUUGGCCUUGGACUCUAGUCCCACCAUCCAGUAAGGAGAGUCUGAUGAAAUGGCAUUGCUGUGUCCACAUGUGAUCUACGAAAAUAAUAUUUCAUCCUCACCAGCAGGACUGUUUGUGGCUGCACAUUAAAUAGGAAUAAUUUCCAAAGACUCCAGCUGGCCUUCCUCAAAAGAAAUCACAAUUCCCUCAAGAAGGAAGUCCAGAACGUUCCUGUCUGCUGGUUCACCCACUCACUGAGGACCCUAUCUAAUUCAGCCUUGGCCCUAGAUCUACUUCGCCGGUGCACCACAAACACCUCCCCGUGGAUGACUGAGCCAAUCAGCAUCCAGAACACUUCUGGCUUCAGCCAAUCAGUGCUCAGAAUCCUACGCCUUUUCCUUCCUCUCUGGCUGAGCUCCUGAAGACAGGUAUUCUGGUCGCCAUAGGGCGGGAAACUUCUAAGAAAAAUGAAAUAUCUUUCCCUCAAUAUCUUCUGGGCUCUACGACCUCCAAGAGAGAAAGAAAACGAGACAGAGAGACAGAUGGGAACAAGUGUACUCACAUGGAUAUACUGAAACCCACACUCAAUUGGGUGGAGAUGUGUGUUUGUGUGGCCACUCCGGUGCCCCUAGAGAGAAGAUGCCAUCUUACUCUUCAAGUGUCUGGUGCCUCUUCCUCACCCAGUCUUUACAGGCUGGUUGUUAGCCAGACACAGACCUUGCCUCUUCCACAAAGCCCACUUUGGAGACUGGCGCCUGCCUUCUGCUGCUUGUUUGUUGUCUGAAAAGUGCUGAUGCCUCUCCUCAUCUACAGUGCCAGGAUUCUGUGCCAAAGCUGCCCACAUGCUCGUGGCUGUCCCCACAUGUGAGGGUUUCAGAAGGUGGACCUGGCACCAAACAUAGUAGAAGAGGCCCUUACAGCACACACACACCUGCACAUACACAGAGCUGAGACCCCAAUCAGUACCUAAAGCAACUUUUAAAAGGAAUAAAAAUUGU